GACCGUGUGGUUUAGUGGUAGAAUUCUUGCUUUGGGUGCAUGCGUCCCGGGUUCGAGUCCCGGCUCGGUCC
Edhazardia aedis is the source of this 71-nucleotide transfer RNA. It matches the Rfam family "tRNA". Rfam says of the family: Transfer RNA (tRNA) molecules are approximately 80 nucleotides in length. The record is from Rfam. NCBI's taxonomy places the organism in Eukaryota, Fungi, Microsporidia, Culicosporidae.